This 824-nucleotide ribosomal RNA is filed under the name Streptomyces sp. MOLA 1408. RNAcentral describes it as "bacterial SSU rRNA". It matches the Rfam family "Bacterial small subunit ribosomal RNA", at positions 25 to 864 of the family's 1533-position model. Lineage: Bacteria; Bacillati; Actinomycetota; Actinomycetes; Kitasatosporales; Streptomycetaceae. The record is from RNAcentral.
CAGGACGAACGCUGGCGGCGUGCUUAACACAUGCAAGUCGAACGAUGAAGCCCUUCGGGGUGGAUUAGUGGCGAACGGGUGAGUAACACGUGGGCAAUCUGCCCUUCACUCUGGGACAAGCCCUGGAAACGGGGUCUAAUACCGGAUAACACUCUGUCCCGCAUGGGACGGGGUUGAAAGCUCCGGCGGUGAAGGAUGAGCCCGCGGCCUAUCAGCUUGUUGGUGGGGUAAUGGCCUACCAAGGCGACGACGGGUAGCCGGCCUGAGAGGGCGACCGGCCACACUGGGACUGAGACACGGCCCAGACUCCUACGGGAGGCAGCAGUGGGGAAUAUUGCACAAUGGGCGAAAGCCUGAUGCAGCGACGCCGCGUGAGGGAUGACGGCCUUCGGGUUGUAAACCUCUUUCAGCAGGGAAGAAGCGAAAGUGACGGUACCUGCAGAAGAAGCGCCGGCUAACUACGUGCCAGCAGCCGCGGUAAUACGUAGGGCGCAAGCGUUGUCCGGAAUUAUUGGGCGUAAAGAGCUCGUAGGCGGCUUGUCACGUCGGAUGUGAAAGCCCGGGGCUUAACCCCGGGUCUGCAUUCGAUACGGGCUAGCUAGAGUGUGGUAGGGGAGAUCGGAAUUCCUGGUGUAGCGGUGAAAUGCGCAGAUAUCAGGAGGAACACCGGUGGCGAAGGCGGAUCUCUGGGCCAUUACUGACGCUGAGGAGCGAAAGCGUGGGGAGCGAACAGGAUUAGAUACCCUGGUAGUCCACGCCGUAAACGUUGGGAACUAGGUGUUGGCGACAUUCCACGUCGUCGGUGCCGCAGCUAACGCAUUAAG